AUUGAACGCUGGCGGCAUGCCUUACACAUGCAAGUCGAACGGUAACAGGUCUUCGGCUGCUGACGAGUGGCGGACGGUGGCGUACUACAUCGGAACGUGCCCGAUCGUGGGGGUUAACGAGGCGAAAGGUUUGCUAAUACACCAUACGAUCUAAGACUGAAAGCGGGUGAACUUCGGACCUCGCGGGGCCGUGCCCGCCGAAGUGAGAGUAGGUAGUUGGUGCGGUAAAGGGUCAACAAGGCGACGAUCCGUAGCUGGUCUGAGAGGAUGUGCAGCCACACUGGAACUGAGACACGGUCCAGACUCCUACGGGAGGCAGCAGUGGGGAAUAUUGGACAAUGGGCGAAAGCCUGAUCCAGCCAUACCGCGUGGGUGAAGAAGGCCUUCGGGUGGUAAAGCCCUUUUGUUGGGAAAGAAAAGCAGCAGGUUAAUACCCCGCUGUUCUGACGGUACCCAAAGAAUAAGCACCGGCUAACUUCGUG
Molecule: ribosomal RNA, 482 nt
Filed under: uncultured bacterium
Lineage: Bacteria
Description: partial 16S ribosomal RNA
Rfam family: Bacterial small subunit ribosomal RNA
Source: RNAcentral